CCUACGGGAGGCAGCAGUGAGGAAUAUUGGUCAAUGGGCGCAAGCCUGAACCAGCCAAGUCGCGUGAGGGAUGACGGUCCUAUGGAUUGUAAACCUCUUUUGUCGGGGAGCAAGGUCCGCCACGUGUGGCGGGAAGGAGAGUACCCGAAGAAAAAGCAUCGGCUAACUCCGUGCCAGCAGCCGCGGUAAUACGGAGGAUGCGAGCGUUAUCCGGAUUUAUUGGGUUUAAAGGGUGCGUAGGCGGAAGGUUAAGUCAGCGGUAAAAUGUCGGUGCUCAACACCGGCCUGCCGUUGAAACUGGUCUUCUUGAGUGAGCGAGAAGUAUGCGGAAUGCGUGGUGUAGCGGUGAAAUGCAUAGAUAUCACGCAGAACUCCGAUUGCGAAGGCAGCAUACCGGCGCUCAACUGACGCUGAGGCACGAAGGCGUGGGGAUCGAACAGGAUUAGAUACCCUUGUAGUC
This 460-nucleotide ribosomal RNA is filed under the name uncultured bacterium. RNAcentral's name for it is "partial 16S ribosomal RNA". It matches the Rfam family "Bacterial small subunit ribosomal RNA", at positions 338 to 795 of the family's 1533-position model. The record is from RNAcentral.